Molecule: long non-coding RNA, 348 nt
Filed under: Medicago truncatula (barrel medic)
Lineage: Eukaryota; Viridiplantae; Streptophyta; Magnoliopsida; Fabales; Fabaceae
Description: long non-coding RNA (MTRU_LNC008825)
Source: RNAcentral
AUCUUCUUCGUUAGUACGUCGCCGUUCUUCUCUCUCUUCUGCAUUUCAACAGUGUUCCGCCACAAUUUCCGGUUCCCCUCUUUGACUCGCCGUCAUCUUCACUAUUUCCUCCUUUUUGCAGGGUUAGGACCGAAUUGAAGAUUCAUGGAGACGAUUGAAAUCGAUGAGAGCGUGUUUGGUGGUGAUUAAAUUAAAGAUUGUUUGUUUAGUGGUGUUUAAAGAGUAUUAGUAUUGAAUUUCACCCAAAAAUAAUCCUUCAGGCUUCAGAUAUGCCUGUGCCUCAUGUAUGCCUCUCAAGAUUUUAGUAAUUAAGCAUUUGCAAGUCCUGUGAUUGGUGUAGACGUGUUG